RNAcentral lists this ribosomal RNA (497 nucleotides) under uncultured bacterium. RNAcentral describes it as "partial 16S ribosomal RNA". It matches the Rfam family "Bacterial small subunit ribosomal RNA", at positions 28 to 507 of the family's 1533-position model. The record is from RNAcentral.
GACGAACGCUGGCGGCGUGCCUAAUACAUGCAAGUAGAACGCUGAAGAGAGGAGCUUGCUCUUCUUGGAUGAGUUGCGAACGGGUGAGUAACGCGUAGGUAACCUGCCUGGUAGCGGGGGAUAACUAUUGGAAACGAUAUCUAAUACCGCAUAAAAUUGAUUAUUGCAUGAUAAUUAAUUGAAAGAUGCAACUGCAUCACUACCAGAUGGACCUGCGUUGUAUUAGCUAGUUGGUGAGGUAACGGCUCACCAAGGCGACGAUACCUAGCCGACCUGAGAGGGGGAUCGGCCACACUGGGACUGCGACACGGCCCAGAAGCCUGCGGGAGGGAGCAGGAGGGAAACUUCGGCAAUGGGGGGAACCCUGACCGAGCAACGCCGCGUGAGUGAAGAAGGGUGUCGGGUCGGAAAGCUCUGUUGUAAGAGAAGAACGGGUGUGAGAGUGGAAAGUUCACACUGUGACGGUACCUCACCAGAAAGGGACGGCUAACUACGUG